AACGAACGCUGGUGGAGUGUCUUAUACAUGCAAGUCGAGCGGACCUCUUCGGAGGUCAGCGGCGGACGGGUGAGUAACACGUGGGCAACCUGCCUGUAAGACUGGGAUAACUCCGGGAAACCGGAGCUAAUACCGGAUACUAUGUCAAACCGCAUGGUUUGACAUUCAAAGACGGUUUCGGCUGUCACUUACAGAUGGGCCCGCGGCGCAUUAGCUAGUUGGUGAGGUAACGGCUCACCAAGGCGACGAUGCGUAGCCGACCUGAGAGGGUGAUCGGCCACACUGGGACUGAGACACGGCCCAGACUCCUACGGGAGGCAGCAGUAGGGAAUCUUCCGCAAUGGACGAAAGUCUGACGGAGCAACGCCGCGUGAGUGAUGAAGGUUUUCGGAUCGUAAAACUCUGUUGUCAGGGAAGAACAAGUGCCGGAGUAACUGCCGGCGCCUUGACGGUACCUGACCAGAAAGCCACGGCUAACUACGUGCCAGCAGCCGCCGUAA
This 500-nucleotide ribosomal RNA is filed under the name uncultured bacterium. RNAcentral describes it as "partial 16S ribosomal RNA". It matches the Rfam family "Bacterial small subunit ribosomal RNA", at positions 29 to 523 of the family's 1533-position model. The record is from RNAcentral.